CUGUAUUAGAAACAUAGAGUUGCAUCAGAUGAUAUGAAUCUGAUCAGGGAGUGCAACUCAAUGCUGGUUGCAAUUACUGUAUGGCUGUCCACCUCUGGUUGUCCCAUACUCCUAGGGUGUAGACUUCUAGGAUUCCCACUGAGAUCCUGAAGUAUUUGCUAGAAUCCCUCUUCACUGAUAUUCCCAGGCUCUAAUUUCCAUAUCUUUAUCAUGGUCUGUUUAGUCAGUAGAGAAUAAAAAUACACUAAGCUUUUUUUUUUUAAAAAAAAAUGCUUUUACCCUUGGGAGUGUCAUGAUCAGGACUAUAUAUGGAGGAGAUUUAGGGAGCUCAAAUAGGAGGUUAUAGUAAUAGUCUGGAUAUGAGUUAAUGAAGGCUGCUGAUACAGGAAGUUGGAAACAGGAAUGUACAUGAAGAGACAGAUACAGAACCUCUUAUGGAAGAAGAGAGGGAGGGGAUUAUUUACAAGAAGAAAAGUGGGGCUUUUGCUUUAUCCCCUAGUCCCAACACACUCACUGCGGACCAAUUAUUUUCACACACUAACAAGCGUAACCCUGGAACAUGAGGAUGUUGACAUGACCUGUAUACAGUUAUGAGACUGCUCCUGCCGAAGGGAACUCCCUAAACAGAGAAACAACGACCAGAAUAGUUCACGAAAAGCCUGGGCUGUUGGAAGUUAGGCCUUCUCUGGAAUUGCUCCCCGGAUACUGACGGCUCCAACGUUUCCAGUGUGCUGUGGUUGGAUCAGACAUUCUUCUCCAAGCCAAGAUUGCUUCCAACAGCUGGAGGAAGAGCCCCUCCUGUCCUCUCCACCUCCUCAGCUUCAUUUCUCACUGGAGACCAUCCGAAAGGGGAGUUUAAAAUUACUAACUGUCUUUUGGGUAAAUAGCAUUUACUUUUCCAGACUGAACUGCCAAAGACCUUAAGAAAAUUAAAGAAAGAAGAGAAAAACUGAGUUGCCAUGUCUGGUAAAUAGUGUUUCUCUAAUUAGGUGGCUGCAUGGUUAUUAACUAGAGCAGUUGUAUAUCCUGACGUAUGAUUUAUUUACCUUGGCACACACAGAUAGGGUGCUGAGCAACAGAGCCAAAUACGGUGACAGGGUGAGGAAAAUGAGAGGAUGCAAAACCAUGGUGAGGACUGAGUUCUGUACAUCUUACAGAAUUGGUUUUCCCAGAGGAGGGAAACAGGAAUAUUAUC
Molecule: long non-coding RNA, 1195 nt
Filed under: Pan paniscus (pygmy chimpanzee)
Lineage: Eukaryota; Metazoa; Chordata; Mammalia; Primates; Hominidae
Description: lncRNA (ENSPPAG00000045203.1)
Source: RNAcentral